UACGUAGGUGGCAAGCGUUGUCCGGAAUUAUUGGGCGUAAAGCGCGCGCAGGUGGUUCCUUAAGUCUGAUGUGAAAGCCCCGGGCUCAACCUGGGAAUUGCAUUCGAGACUGCAUUGCUGGAGUACGGAAGAGGAGGGCGGAAUUCCCGGUGUAGCGGUGAAAUGCGUAGAUAUCGGGAGGAACAUCAGUGGCGAAGGCGGCCCUCUGGUCCAGUACUGACACUCAAGUGCGAAAGCGUGGGGAGCAAACAGG
RNAcentral lists this ribosomal RNA (253 nucleotides) under uncultured bacterium. RNAcentral describes it as "partial 16S ribosomal RNA". It matches the Rfam family "Bacterial small subunit ribosomal RNA", at positions 524 to 776 of the family's 1533-position model. The record is from RNAcentral.